CUGGACACUGAGCACAUCACUAUACCAAGCCACUUCCCAGACCCUGCUCUCAGUGUGAGGCAGCCAAUGUGCCUGACUCAUGGCACUAGAGGACUAACUAUCCCUGCUCCCAGAGAGGGGCUAGGCCAGCAAGAACCCUCAUCUCCCUCUCUGAUAAAGACUAAAGGGCCUGGUGCAACCCAUAACACCCCUGUCCACAGACAUCACCAUCUGCUGUGAGGAACCCUGGAUGACCCUGGAUGUCAUGGGAUCAGAGGUUAGCUCCUCUUGUGAACAAGUGAUUUCCCAGAACUAUGCAAGCAGACAGGACAUCAGUGACCUGCCCCUCCAAGACCCUGAGGAGAUAUGGUUCACUCAUGGAAGUAGCUUUUUCCAUCAAAAGGAUAAAGACAGCUCCCCUUGAACCAUCUGAAGAAAGAGACCACCUAAAAGAAGGAAGCUUUUCCUGUGAACAUUUGGAAGACCUGAGGCUCCUCCUUAGUUUUUGGUUUGUUUGUUUUGUUUUUUUUUGGUACCAGGGAUUGAACUUGGGUCCUUGCACUUUCAAGGCAGGCGGCAGAAC
Long non-coding RNA from Heterocephalus glaber (naked mole-rat), 562 nucleotides. RefSeq lists it as uncharacterized. The record is from RefSeq and is a predicted model, not a curated record. NCBI's taxonomy places the organism in Eukaryota, Metazoa, Chordata, Mammalia, Rodentia, Bathyergidae.